Long non-coding RNA from Rhinopithecus roxellana (golden snub-nosed monkey), 5439 nucleotides. RefSeq lists it as uncharacterized. The record is from RefSeq and is a predicted model, not a curated record. NCBI's taxonomy places the organism in Eukaryota, Metazoa, Chordata, Mammalia, Primates, Cercopithecidae. The transcript has 6 exons.
CUUGAACCCAGGAGUCCAAGGCUACAAUAAGCUGUGCUUGCACCACUGCACUCCAGCCUGGGCGAAUGUGAGACCAUCUCUAUAAAAUCCGAUAGAGGGACAGCGAGUCAGUGCCACACGAUUGGCCCUUGGUGCCUGGAGUGUUGGGCUCCUGCUGCCCCAAACCGACGUGACUCGGUGAACACAGGGGACAUGGCAGACAGCCACCAGGAGCCAGAGUGGAGGGGCCAGGCUGUGCACACGGACAUUUGCUCAAGCUCACAGCUGGCGUGCAGGAGGGCGCUUUGAACAUCUCCAGAGCUGGGAUGAGGAGCCGCCUCUGGCCUGCCAGACACUUCCUGCCUGGAGGACCACAGACCUGAGGCCGGCUCGGACGAGAGGACCGUGGCUUACCUGCCAUCAACAGGCUCGCAGGGGCCCCUCGCUGCACCCAGGGGGCUGGGGCCGGGCCGACCACCGAGAGAACUCACCAUGCAUCCCCUGCUAGCCUCCCUGCUCAGGGGCAGCUGGGACGUGGCAGCCGCCUCCCAGACUCUAGUCAGGGUCCCGGAUGUGGGGAAGGCCACCCAUCAGGAGGCCCGCCUGGAGUCUGCAGCCCGUCCUGGGUCCUGUGAUGCCCUCUCCCUGUGUUAGGAGGCCCGCCUGGAGUCUGCAGCCCGUCCUGGGUCCUGUGAUACCCUCUCCCUGUGUUAGGAGGCCCGCCUGGAGUCUGCAGCCCGUCCUGGGUCCUGUGAUGCCCUCUCCCUGUGUUAGGAGGCCCGCCUGGAGUCUGCAGCCCAUCCUGGGUCCUGUGAUACCCUCUCCCUGUGUUAAAUCCCUUCCUGCUCAGAGUCCUUGGGGCCACUCUGCCCUGCUCAGACCCAUCUGUCAUGAACCCUUGAGUCACAACAAAUCCAUCCCUCCCCAGCCUGUUUCCAACUUGAUUGAAACACCCCUAAACACUCCACAAAGUACCUGCGCAGCCCUGGGCUCCAAGAGGCUUGGCCGGGGUGAGCUUCAAGGAGAGCACGCAUGUGCACACACACAGACCCACCCACACAGACACGUGCACACGCAUGGAUCCACACACACACACACACGUACACACAAGCUCGUAUACACAAACACAAGCACUCACAAAAUCACACACGUGCACACACACUUGUGCACACAGUAACUCAUACACACGAGUACAUGCCUGCAUUCACCUGACAACACAAACACGCAUGCAUACAGCAAACACAUAUGCACACACCUGUGCAUGCCCAUGUGCACACAGCAAAUAUCUGUACACAACCAAAUCCAUAGGUGUGCACGAGAAAACACAUACACAGAUACACAUGCAUGUAGUGCACACAAACAUACACAAUGCGCACACACAAGCACACAUGCGGGCACACAUGGAGAGAUUUUGGUUCUUUGCUCGUAAAUCAUUUGUUCACUAAUUAAAUCACCCAUCAGGUCCUCCGACAAGGGUGACAUGGGAGCCUCCUGCACGCCAGGUGAGUUCUGAGUGCUGAAGCUCCCGCAGGAAACGGUGCGUCCCGGGAGCAACAGUCUUGAAGACUAUGGAUGGCUUCCUUCUCUUGCCCUGGCCAGAGGCGGGGCCCUGGGUUAGCACAAGGCUUUGUCAGAUGAAAUUCCAAAGUUUCCCCAUAAAAGGAGUCACUCCGAGCUAGCAUCGCCCACGACAUCCUUCCAGGCCUGGCUCCCCUGGGGCACGUGGAGUGGAGCGGGCAGGCGGGUCUGUGCAGCGGACGGGGCACCCUCCCCGUGUAGGGAAGGUGCUCUGCUCUUCCCACCCUGGGGCUCCGUUCCCCGAAUCCGGCCCCCACCACAUUCCAUGGCACCCAGCUAUGCCCCUGCCGCUGUCCUGUUCAUCCUUUCACACUUUUGGGGGUUUGGUGGUUUUAGCAUGGCCUGUCCCCUCCAGGGACCCACCGACCUGCAUGCCAGGGUUUACUUCAGCCUCAUCUGGGGAGGGAGCAGCCCUCGGGAGGCCCCUCGAGUACACAGGAAAUGAAGAAGAGAGAAAAUGAGGCUGAGCUGCUCCGAUUGGCCCAAGGGUCCUGAGUCGGAAGAUGACAAAGAAACCCCUCCUUAGAGUCUGGACUCUGCUUCCCGAGUCCAUGGCCAUGUGGCUCAGCAGCUGGCGUGGGGGCACCCAGGAGGAUGGGGACGCUCCCCUUCUGGGGACUGAGGGCCCGGAAGCCCACUGAGCACUCAGGGUGUCCUGCUCCGCUCUGGAGAGAGAGUGGCUGGAGCCUGCACCCUGGGUUAGAGGGUGAGACCGGGGAGCCAGGCAGGUGCCAGGCCAGCUCCUGCUAGGCCACCCUGCGGGCCAUACCUGUCUCUCACAUCACUCAGGCCUGGAGCCUCUCCCUGUGCUUCCUCUGCCAGCACAUGUGUGAGUGUGUACAUCACACACAGAUGACACGUGUGCACAGAGAGGUAUGCACACAGAGGGAUGUGCACACACACUCACACAACAUCAUAUGUUACAACGCCCUCUUAUGCCUGGAGACAUUUGGGAAGAUGCUUGACUUGUUUGGUUACCCCUUUCUAACUCGGCCAUCCCCCAACUGUUCACACCUUGUCGGCCCCUAACCCCAGAGCCUCCAAGUCACCUCCCAGGUGCCACUGUCAGCCCUGAUACCUCCUUCCUGGGCAGGGGCUGUGAGGUGAUGCCUCCUUCCAGGACAGGGGGCACCAUCCGGGCAGUAACAUGGGCCACAGUUGCCCCAUGACCCUCCCUACACUUUGUUGCUGUCCCAGCCACAGGCCCGGCCCUGACACACAGCAGCUUCUCUGGCCAGCUGUGCAAAAAAGGAACGCGUCCUCCCUGGGCCCACGGCUGGAUGGCCACAUAGCAGGCGUUCCUCUACAGCUCAGUGGUGUUACCCUGGGAUCUGAACAUGGCAAUGGCCUGGGGCCUGAUCGCGAAAAGGGAAAAGCAGUGUUACCAGGGACAUCCUCCUGGGGGUUUUAGAAUCUCCCCCUUGGAGGGGAGAAGAAGAGGGAGGGAGAACUGCCGGCCCAGCCCCAUGAGUGGAGGGUGCACCGAGCCACUGACCUCUGGUCCCUGCCCACCUGGGAGCUCCUCCCUCACAGGCAGUGCCAGUCUGUGGCAGGGGUCAGGCCACCUGUUCUAUCUGCCUUUAGUUCAUAGCCUGAUCAAAAGGUUAAUGAGUUCGAAGUUACAUUCCUUAUCUCAUUUUUAAGAUUGAAUGAGGACUCAAAACCUGCACCUGGACCAGUGACCCUGGGCAUUCUCUCUCAUCAUUGCACAACCGCAGAAGCUUGUAUCUCCCUGCCGGCCUUUUAUGAGGUGCAGCCACGGGUCCUUUGCUUUCUUAUUCACCACUGACGUCUGUACUAAUGAUGACACGCUUUCGAAUGCCAGUUCGCUGACUGAAGUACUAGCUACAGGUUUGUUUUUUUUGUUCACACCCAGAGAAUGUGUCCUGGCAAUAUGCUCCUGUUGGACGUCAUUAUGCAGUGAUGCUAUAUGGCAAAUGUGCUCCAGGAAUGACACACUCACAAGGCAGUGUUUGGUCUCCUGUAAAAAAAAACCCACAGAGACAAAUAACUAAGAAAAGAAAAGUGGAAGAAAGAUGUAAAGGAUUCAUGCCUUGAAUAUAUAAAGAGUUCUCAUAAUAAAUAAGCACUUCCCUACUAGGGGCCUAUCUUCUGAUUUUACCCAUGCAAAGGAAUCUGUGGCUCCUUCCUUUGUAAUAGCUCCCAGGAACCACCCCCUCCUGCCCUUAGUCCAGAUUAUUUGGGUGUGCUGACCUAAAUUCUUCACCUCCAGAGAUUAAACAUGACACAAACCUGGCCAAUGAAGGGCUUCCCUGGGACAGUGGCUGGAACUAUCAGAGAAAAGAUAUGCUUUCUCUGUAGACUGUGAGUUGGUAAGAUGUUAGCUACCUGUCUUAGUCUGCUUUGUGCAGCUACAAUGAAAUACCACAGUCUGGGUAAUCUAUAAUGAACAGAGAUGUAUUGGGGAAGCUGGGAAGUCCAAAAGCAUGGCACUGGCAUCUAGUUAGGGCCUUCUUGCUGUGGCAUCCCAAGGUGGAAGGCAGAAGGGCAAGAGAGAGUGAGAAAGUGAGAAAACACACACACACAGGGGGUGGGGGGAAAGAGAAAGCGCAAGAUGGGGCCAAACUUGUCCUUUUAUAAGGAACCCACUCUGAGAUAAUGGCAUGAAUCCACUUGUGAGGGUCGUGCCCCUAUGGCCCAAGCACCUCCCAUUGGGCUCCACCUCCCAACACAGCCAUGUUGGGGAUCAAGCUUCUGACACAUGGGCUUUGGGGGACACUUUCAAACCAUAGCACCAUCUCUGCUACAAACUGGAAUGAGCCUGCAUGAGAACAAAGCCAAGGCAGGGAAGUAGAACUGAGGGAUGCUGCUGAAAAAAAGGAAGAGAACAGAUGAACAUUGUGUGAGCCUGGGUCUAGCUCAGCCUGAAGCCUGUAGUAUCCUGGGCCCUUUAGUUAUGUUAACCACCGACUUUCCUUUUAGCUGGAACCAGUUUCAGUUGCAUUUCUGCCUCUUACAACCAAGGGAGACUUGACUGAGACCCACUCAUAGAAAAUGGGGCAGAAAAUAGGAACUGACACUCAAAAGAAACACAAAUGGCCAAUGAACAUGAAAAGAAGAACCGCUUUCCAUAAGGAAAUCCAAGAAUUGCACAUUAUAAUAAAUGCAUGCUAUUACGGAUUGAACUGUGUCCCCCUCCUGAAAGGUAUGUUAGUCCUCACCCCCUGCACCUAAGAACAUGUCCUUAUUUGGAAAUAGGAUCGUAGCAGAUGUAACUAGUUAGAGUGAGAUCAUACUGGAGUAGGCUGGGCCCUAAAUACAGAACGCCUUGUGUCCUUGUAAGAACAGAGGGAGGCCCCCGGAAAAGCCGGCCCAUCUGAAGAUGGUGGCAGAGACUGGAUGAGGGAUCUGUAAGCCAAGGGCUCACGGUGUCCCUGAGAACCUCCAGAAGCUGGAAGAGGCAUGAAAGGAAUCUCCCCAGGAGACUGAAGAGGGAACAUGGCCUUGCCCACACCUUGAUUUCAGACAUCUGGCUCCAGAACUGUGGGAAGGAUACAUUUCUGUUGUUUGGAGCUGCCUGGUUUUUCAUACUUUGUUAUGGCUGCCCUAGGAAACUAAUACAGAUAUUAUUUUCCAAUUCUGAACUUAGCAAAAUAUUUUUAAAAUGAAAAUUCUUACGUUGGCACAGUUUAAGGUCAGGGGUGCCCCAGCAGUUUGGCAACGUAGAUCAAAGGCUUUAAGAUACUUUAUCCCCUUUCACUUGGUAAUUCCAUUUUUAAGGCUUUAUCCUAGGGAAAAAUUUCACAUAGGAAUUAUGAGUUUUGGGAAAGAUGCUCACAAUAACACUGUUUAUAGUAAUGGGUAGAAACAACAAAUGUCUACAAAUAGAAAUGUUAAAUAAAUGGGAAUGUUAUAUGUUAA